AGAGUCCUGAUGUGUUAGUGGUAAACCAUGUUUUGACCUAACAUAUGACCUUCGGGAGUUUGCGUUUCCAAGUGGAGUAAAUGCCUAGUACAUAGGACUUACAAAGGCCUGGAACAGAACACCCACCUACUAAGUGUAGGUUCAAAACGAAGGAAAGAAUACGACGGCACAAUUGGGACUCUU
This 183-nucleotide non-coding RNA is filed under the name Anoxybacillus andreesenii. RNAcentral's name for it is "Robertmurraya andreesenii 6S / SsrS RNA". It matches the Rfam family "6S / SsrS RNA". From Rfam's summary of the family: E. coli 6S RNA was the first non coding RNA to be sequenced, but its function was unknown until recently. It consists of 184 nucleotides that fold into an extended hairpin structure with a large single-stranded internal bulge. The record is from RNAcentral. Lineage: Bacteria; Bacillati; Bacillota; Bacilli; Caryophanales; Anoxybacillaceae.